This 253-nucleotide ribosomal RNA is filed under the name uncultured bacterium. Its description in RNAcentral is "partial 16S ribosomal RNA". It matches the Rfam family "Bacterial small subunit ribosomal RNA", at positions 524 to 776 of the family's 1533-position model. The record is from RNAcentral.
UACGAAGGGGGCUAGCGUUGCUCGGAAUCACUGGGCGUAAAGCGCACGUAGGCGGCUUCUUAAGUCAGGGGUGAAAUCCUGGAGCUCAACUCCAGAACUGCCUUUGAUACUGAGGAGCUUGAGUCCGGGAGAGGUGAGUGGAACUGCGAGUGUAGAGGUGAAAUUCGUAGAUAUUCGCAAGAACACCAGUGGCGAAGGCGGCUCACUGGCCCGGUACUAACGCUGAGGUGCGAAAGCGUGGGGAGCAAACAGG